CAGUUCGGACUGUGGUCUGNAACCCGACCACACGAAGCUGGAAUCGCUAGUAAUCGUGAAUCAGAAUGUCACGGUGAAUACGUUCCCGGGUCUUGUACACACCGCCCGUCACACCAUGGGAGUCAGCAACGCCCGAAGUCAGUGACCUAACCGAGAGGGAGGAGCUGCCGAAGGCGGGGCCGGUAACUGGGGUGAAGUCGUAACAAGGUACC
RNAcentral lists this ribosomal RNA (212 nucleotides) under uncultured bacterium. Its description in RNAcentral is "partial 16S ribosomal RNA". It matches the Rfam family "Bacterial small subunit ribosomal RNA", at positions 1289 to 1500 of the family's 1533-position model. The record is from RNAcentral.